Trichobilharzia regenti is the source of this 45-nucleotide non-coding RNA. The record is from Rfam. Lineage: Eukaryota; Metazoa; Platyhelminthes; Trematoda; Strigeidida; Schistosomatidae.
AUCCGGCUGACGAGUCCCGAAUAAGACGAAGUGCUCAUCCUGGAU